AACGAACGCUGGCGGCAUGCCUAACACAUGCCAGUCGAACGAAACCUCCGGGUCUUUUGGCGCAUGGGGUCGUAGCGCGUCGGAACCUUCCCUUAUGGUCGGAAUACCUCCCCGAAAGGGGUGAUAACACCGGACAAUAUCUUCUGACCAAACGUUUAUUGCGCUUGGAUGGUCGCGCGUUGGAUUAGCUCGUUGGUAGGGUUAUAGCCUCACAAGGCGACGAUUCAUAGGUGGGUUGGGAGGAUGAUCAGCCACACUGGGACUGAGACGCGGCCCAGACUCCUACGGGAGGCAGCAGUGGGGAAUAUUGGAAAAUCGGCGAAAGCAUGAUCGAGCAAUGCCGGGUGAGUGAUGAAGGUCUUAGGGUAGAAAAGCUUUUUUAACCGUGAUGAUAAUGACGGUACCUAGAGAAUAAGCGCCGGCUAACUACGUG
This 433-nucleotide ribosomal RNA is filed under the name uncultured bacterium. Its description in RNAcentral is "partial 16S ribosomal RNA". It matches the Rfam family "Bacterial small subunit ribosomal RNA", at positions 29 to 507 of the family's 1533-position model. The record is from RNAcentral.